CAGUCGCCGCGGUAAUACGUAGGUGGCAAGCGUUGUCCGGAAUUAUUGGGCGUAAAGGGCUCGCAGGCGGUUUCUUAAGUCUGAUGUGAAGGCCCCCGGCUCAACCGGGGAGGGUCAUUGGAAACUGGGAAACUUGAGUGCAGAAGAGGAGAGUGGAAUUCCACGUGUAGCGGUGAAAUGCGUAGAGAUGUGGAGGAACACCAGUGGCGAAGGCGACUCUCUGGUCUGUAACUGACGCUGAGGAGCGAAAGCGUGGGGAGCGAACAGGAUUAGAGACCCGCGUAGUCCCUGUCUCUUAUAC
Molecule: ribosomal RNA, 301 nt
Filed under: uncultured bacterium
Lineage: Bacteria
Description: partial 16S ribosomal RNA
Rfam family: Bacterial small subunit ribosomal RNA
Source: RNAcentral